Apis cerana (Asiatic honeybee) is the source of this 1239-nucleotide long non-coding RNA. RefSeq lists it as uncharacterized. The record is from RefSeq and is a predicted model, not a curated record. NCBI's taxonomy places the organism in Eukaryota, Metazoa, Arthropoda, Insecta, Hymenoptera, Apidae.
UAAAGGAAGAAACAUUUCCAAUAUUCGUUUAUAAUCUUAAUUUUUAAUUACUUAUUAUUAAGUAUAUUCUAUUAUAGUCCGGAAAGUAAUUUCGUUUUCUCACGCGAGUGUCGCUAGUGUUUAUUCGGCCAACUUCGUUCUGAACCGUGUUGUUAUUACGUAUACUUCGAGAGUUGGUAUUUAUAAGAAAAAUUCGAUCCAUUCCGUUUUUCGUGUACGAUAACAAAGAUGCAAGAUCGAAAGGAGCAUAUUUUACUUUUUUAUUAAAAGGUAAGAAUGCUGAUCUGACAAGAAAAAAGUUGUGCGAAGUCCACGGAGAAGAUGUAUUAACAGUCAAAAAACUGGUUUUCAAAAUUUCGUUCCUUUCGACGUUAAAGAUGUUCACGUUCCGAGAGAUCGUUUGAUGAAGACAAAAUAAAGACACUGAUUGAAGCAAACUGGAGAAAUUGCUACCAGAUUGAAUUCGAUUAUUCAUACGACCAUUUCAUGUGAUGUGAUUAUAGGUUAUGAUUAUAGAAAAGAAUGAAAAUUAAAAUCUAUCCCUUUAUUUCGUUUAUUAUUACGAGUGAUACGUGGUGGAAUUAAACGUAAGAAUUUCUACGCGAAAGAAAUGAGGCAACCGCAAACUUUCAUCGCUUGUGUACGAUCGCAGGACGACGAGCGAUGGCAUCGUCGUCGUGGCGACGACGUCGUCGUCGUCGUCGUCAUUCCGGUAGACGCGAUGACAAUCUCGUAGGGCCGGCUAGGUGUGGUCCUACGUUCGAGGCAGCGGGUUUCCAGGAACGCGAGCCAUUAGACCUUCUGGCUGGUGUUAUAAAUUGUACAUCGUUUAAUUAGGCUCUCUUCCCGCCCGUGUUCGGGCGGCUCAGUUAUUUACCAUUUACUCCCAGCCUACCCCUGAGCCGGUGCUAUCUCUGCCGAGGCUACUGUGCAUCAAAUUGGAUUGGGAUUGGGUCCUGGAGACGGCUGCUCCGCUCUAGGAGAGACGGUCACGCCGACGAUCGACCCGGGGAGCAAAGGUUAUGGACAUUGUUGUCGAGACCCGAAGUGAAUUCUCGUCCCUCCUCUCGACUAGGUGAAAUUGGUUGUUUGAUCGGCGUAUUACGCAUAAAUUUGUUUUAGUGAAGGCGAAUGAAAUGUAAUGUCCAUAAUAAGUGAUGUAAGAUAGGUAUAAAAAACAAGAAACAAAUCUUAAACUGUAACAAAUAUAUCCAAAUAAAGAUCUUUUUUGUACAUCAA